This 237-nucleotide ribosomal RNA is filed under the name uncultured bacterium. Its description in RNAcentral is "partial 16S ribosomal RNA". It matches the Rfam family "Bacterial small subunit ribosomal RNA", at positions 100 to 334 of the family's 1533-position model. The record is from RNAcentral.
GGCGGAACGGGUGAGUAACACGUGAGUAACCUGCCCUUGACUCUGGGAUAAGCCUGGGAAACUGGGUCUAAUACCGGAUAUGACUCCUCAUCGCAUGGUGGGGGGUGGAAAGCUUUUGUGGUUUUGGAUGGACUCGCGGCCUAUCAGCUUGUUGGUGAGGUAAUGGCUUACCAAGGCGACGACGGGUAGCCGGCCUGAGAGGGUGACCGGCCACACUGGGACUGAGACACGGCCCAG